Long non-coding RNA from Paralichthys olivaceus (Japanese flounder), 406 nucleotides. RefSeq lists it as uncharacterized. The record is from RefSeq and is a predicted model, not a curated record. NCBI's taxonomy places the organism in Eukaryota, Metazoa, Chordata, Actinopteri, Pleuronectiformes, Paralichthyidae.
CUUAAAAGGCCACUUCCUGCUGGUUUUGGGCCUUUUGCCAGGGGAGCUCAGCACAAAGUGCCUCAGGAGUUUGGCAUGGUGGAGCAGAGUGUAAAGUCCCCGGGGAGCACUCCUCUGGUGAUGGGGGCACUGCCUCGACCUCAGUCCUGCCUGGUGUGGGUGGCAUCCAACUAGGGAGACGCACGAUGGAGAGCAAGACGGAAGACGGUGAUGCUUGUGGUGGACUCUCACAGGACUGAGCCUUAUUCUCAGGGUCAUGCAUUCCAGCAAUCUCUGUAAUUAUAAGCAAGUGGGGGGGCCCUGGCAUGAGGCUGUGGAGGAGGGAGAGUGCAGAGUGAGAAGCCCGCUGCAGGGCUCCUCUCUGGAUCUCAUUUUCACGUAGCAAGGGGUAGGGUCCUGGACAUCC